GGUUAAGUCCCGCAACGAGCGCAACCCUUGUCCCUAGUUGCUACGCAAGAGCACUCCAGGGAGACUGCCGGUGACAAACCGGAGGAAGGUGGGGAUGACGUCAAGUCCUCAUGGCCCUUAUGGGUAGGGCUUCACACGUCAUACAAUGGUCGGAACAGAGGGUCGCCAAGCCGCGAGGUGGAGCCAAUCCCAGAAAACCGAUCGUAGUCCGGAUCGCACUCUGCAACUCGAGUGCGUGAAGCUGGAAUCGCUAGUAAUCGCGGAUCAGCAUGCCGCGGUGAAUACGUUCCCGGGUCUUGUACACACCGCCCGUCACACCAUGGGAGUGGGUUUUACCAGAAGUGGCUAGUCUAACCGCAAGGAGGACGGUCACCACGGUAGGAUUCAUGACUGGGGUGAAGUCGUAACAAGGUAGCCGUAUCGGAAGGUGCGGCUGGAUCACCUCCUUUCC
RNAcentral lists this ribosomal RNA (451 nucleotides) under uncultured Paraburkholderia sp. RNAcentral's name for it is "bacterial SSU rRNA". It matches the Rfam family "Bacterial small subunit ribosomal RNA", at positions 1078 to 1533 of the family's 1533-position model. The record is from RNAcentral. Lineage: Bacteria; Pseudomonadati; Pseudomonadota; Betaproteobacteria; Burkholderiales; Burkholderiaceae.